This 384-nucleotide unclassified non-coding RNA is filed under the name soil metagenome. Its description in RNAcentral is "partial contains 5.8S ribosomal RNA, internal transcribed spacer 2, and large subunit ribosomal RNA". The stretch from base 1 to 121 matches the Rfam family "5.8S ribosomal RNA", at positions 35 to 154 of the family's 154-position model. The record is from RNAcentral.
GAUGAAGAACGCAGCGAAAUGCGAUAAGUAAUGCGAAUUGCAGAAUUCCAGUGAGUCAUCGAAUCUUUGAACGCACAUUGCGCCCCUUGGUAUUCCUUGGGGCAUGCCUGUUCGAGCGUCACUACAAACCCGCUCAUACAUAUUAUAUGGUAUUGAUGGAAGUGGACCGUGGUUACUAAUAAUGUAUCUGGAUCACCCCAUUGAAAUGUAUAGGCAGGACAGUAAACCUCUGCAAUGGACUUAGUAACUGUUGUGAAAACAUAGACCAGUCCUUUGCCUGGUUCCAGCCUGGCCUCCAUGGACCUCUAUCCAAGAUGAACUCUGGGUUGACCUCGGAUCAGGUAGGGAUACCCGCUGAACUUAAGCAUAUCAAUAAGCGGAGGA